Triticum urartu is the source of this 1018-nucleotide non-coding RNA. Lineage: Eukaryota; Viridiplantae; Streptophyta; Magnoliopsida; Poales; Poaceae. The record is from RefSeq and is a predicted model, not a curated record.
UCCAGAUCCCUCACCCACCCCCCCUGUCCACUCCCGCAGCUGACGCCCCUCCCUCACCGUCGAGGACCCACGCCACCGCCGCACACUACAGCGCCCUCCCCUCACCCUGGCCCCAGGUCAGGCAGUGCGAGGCGACGCUUCCAGACCACGAUGGCCACAGCCUUUCCCACUCCGAUCUGGAUCCAUGGUGCACUCCUUCUUAUGUCUGCUCAUCAGACCUGACCUCCGACCUUCGCCCGCCCUCUCCACCCCUUCUCUCCCUACGCGUCGGCCUGAUCCAGUCCAACACGUCCCAUGGCGCCGUAACCGAACCACACGGCCGCAGUCAUGGCAGGAGCACCGGCCAUGGCGGCCCCUCUCUGGUUCAUCCGCUUGUUCGCUUGGAUCCGCAUGACCCACCCUCACCGCACCUCAUCUCCUCUCACUCUUCCUCUCAGACCCACCACGCCAAGGUCGCCAUGGGCCUCGACCUCCACGGACAUGUGCUCACCAGCGCCAUCUUUCUCAUGUACUGGUCGCCGGCAUCUUGUUCUCCAGCACCAACUUGGUUCUCCACCAGACACCACAGGUCCAUGGAGCUCCAGCGUCAAGGGCACAAAGUUCAGCUACCUGCUGCUCCUUUGUUGUUUCUGGAUCCAUUCCUUCCUUCCUUCCUAGCACAUGUCUCAUCUUCUUCUUGUUGUGCAGCAGCAGCAAAGAUAGAGGCCAAGGCAUUCAUCUAGGAGGUGCGCAGCCCGCUCGGCAUGGGCUACAUAACAUCAUCCAUGUGUCACCUCACUGGACAUAAGAGGCAGCAGUGUAUAAACAAUACCUUGCAAACCAGACCCUGAAUGAUGAUCUAAUGUCGUCGAGGCUGCUGCUGCUGUGACAGAAGAUCAGAAGAAGCUUGGAGAUGCGUGCCACAGUUUUAGUUGAUGUUGCCACCAAGUUUUGGUGCUUGUGUAUCUGUUUUUGAUUGUAUGUGCACUUGUUGGACGUGCAAACGUGUAUGUGCUCUUGUGAGUAUUUAACUUGAUGA